UUAAGUAGUAAAGGGCGCACGGAGGAUGCCUUGGCACUAGGAGCCGAAGAAGGACGUGACAAACGACGAAAUGCUACGGGGAGCUGUAAGUAAGCAAAGAUCCGUAGAUAUCCGAAUGGGGGAACCCACCGCUUUUAAAAGGGCGGUACGCGAAAGCGAGGUAACGCAGGGAACUGAAACAUCUAAGUACCUGCAGGAAGAGAAAGAAAAAUCGAUUUCCUAAGUAGCGGCGAGCGAAAGGGAAAGAGCCCAAACCAAUGUGCAUGCAUAUUGGGGUUGUAGGACUCUCAGAAAAGCGUAUGACAAAGUAUAGUAGAACAAUUUGGAAAGAUAGACCGUAGAAGGUAAAAGUCCUGUAUACGAAAUGCUAAGUUGGCGUGAGAGAGCACCUGAGUACGGCGGAACACGAGGAAUUCCGUCGGAAUCUACCAGGACCAUCUGGUAAGGCUAAAUACUACCUAGUGACCGAUAGUGAACCAGUACCGUGAGGGAAAGGUGAAAAGAACCCCGGGAGGGGAGUGAAAGAGAACCUGAAACCGUGUGCUUACAAGUAGUCAGAGCCCUUAAGGGGGUGAUGGCGUGCCUUUUGUAGAAUGAACCGGCGAGUUACUUUAUCAUGCGAGGUUAAGUGGAAGACAUGGAGCCGAAGCGAAAGCGAGUCUUAAUAGGGCGAAAUAGUAUGAUGGAGUAGACCCGAAACCAAGUGAUCUACCCAUGGCCAGGUUGAAGUUUAGGUAACACUGAAUGGAGGACCGAACCAGGACACGUUGAAAAGUGUUUGGAUGAGCUGUGGGUAGCGGAGAAAUUCCAAUCGAACUUGGAAAUAGCUGGUUCUCUCCGAAAUAGCUUUAGGGCUAGCCUCGUUGUGAGUUUACUGGAGGUAGAGCACUGUUUGGACUAGGGGCCCAUCCCGGGUUACCGAAUUCAGACAAACUCCGAAUGCCAGAUAAAUAUCAACGGGAGUCAGACUGCGGGUGAUAAGGUUCGUAGUCGAAAGGGAAACAGCCCAGACCGCCAGCUAAGGUCCCAAAUUGUAUGUUAAGUGGAAAAGGAUGUGAUGAUGCACAGACAACCAGGAUGUUGGCUUAGAAGCAGCCACCAUUUAAAGAGUGCGUAAUAGCUCACUGGUCGAGUGACAUCGCGCCGAAAAUGUACCGGGGCUAAACAUACAACCGAAGCUGCGGAUAUAACUAAUGUUAUAUGGUAGGAGAGCGUUCUAACAUCAUAGAAGCCGAGCUGGAAGGCGAGGUGGAGAGGUUAGAAGUGAGAAUGCCGGUGUGAGUAGCGAAAGAUAGGUGAGAAUCCUAUCCACCGAAAGACUAAGGUUUCCAGAGGAAGGCUCGUCCGCUCUGGGUAAGUCGGGACCUAAGGUGAAGCCGACAGGUGAAGCCGAUGGACAACAGGUAGAAAUUCCUGUACCACCGAAUAUCGAUUGAGAGAAGUGGGGACAGAGGAGGCUAAUUGAUCGUCCUGAUGGAAUAGGACGUCUAAGCACAAAGGUUGAGCAGUAGGCAAAUCCGCUGCUUGGUAAGACUGAAGUGUGAUGGGGAGCGAAAUUAAAGUAGCGAAGUCAAUGAAGCCAAACUCUCAAGAAAAGCCGCUAUCGAGAUAAGAGGUGCCCGUACCGCAAACCGACACAGGUAGUUGGGAAGAGAAUUCUAAGGUGAGCGAGAGAACCAUCGUUAAGGAACUCGGCAAAAUGACCCCGUAACUUCGGGAGAAGGGGUGCCUACGAGAGUAGGCCGCAGUGAAUAGGCCCAAGCGACUGUUUAACAAAAACACAGGUCUCUGCAAAACCGAAAGGUGAAGUAUAGGGGCUGACGCCUGCCCGGUGCUGGAAGGUUAAGAGGAGUGCUUAGGAGUAAUCCGAAGGUAUGAAUUGAAGCCCCAGUAAACGGCGGCCGUAACUAUAACGGUCCUAAGGUAGCGAAAUUCCUUGUCGGGUAAGUUCCGACCCGCACGAAAGGCGUAAUGAUUUGGGCACUGUCUCAACGAGAGACUCGGUGAAAUUUUAGUACCUG
This 2021-nucleotide ribosomal RNA is filed under the name metagenome. Its description in RNAcentral is "bacterial LSU rRNA". It matches the Rfam family "Bacterial large subunit ribosomal RNA", at positions 1 to 2053 of the family's 2925-position model. The record is from RNAcentral.